Molecule: long non-coding RNA, 1708 nt
Organism: Homo sapiens (human)
Lineage: Eukaryota; Metazoa; Chordata; Mammalia; Primates; Hominidae
Source: Ensembl
CGCCAACCUCUCUCCACAAGCCAGGGACCCUACGACCCACCGCCGCAGGUGAGCUCCGCCCGGGCGCCCCCUCCCCCACCACGCCUGGAUCCCUGCCGGGCUCCCCGAGCCGAGACUGUGCCUUCUGCAACAGGGCUGUGCUCCAGGCCAGAACCAGCAGCUGAUUUAGAUACCAUCAAGACACCUAAAACCUUAUCAUGAGCCAGAUGCUGUGGAAGAGAUUCUGGGAGAAUCCUGAGGACCCCCCAGUUGCAGCCAUGUCAAGACUGAUGCUGAGGAGGACCCCAACUGUCACGAGCAACACCCGUCGAACACAGCCACCUACUUGGGGAAAGAUCAAGAAGCUGUCACAGAUGGUGGAAGAAAACCUGAGGAAAGCGGGACAACCAGUCACAAUGAGUAAUUUAAUGAUAGCUAUGAGAGCGGUGAUCACCAUUGCUGUGAGUAUUCCUUCAGCAAGCGCUGACACAGAGAACAAUUAUACUUAUUGGGCAUAUCUAUCAAUCUUGGCUGGCAAUAAUGCCUGGAUGUAAUCACUCUAUGACCCAGUUACACAUGCUUUCUGAUCUCAGUAUUUGCCAUAAUGAAUCUGCUCCUAUAAUUAAGGCAUACCACCCUCAAAAACCUAUUUGUAAACAGAAUUGAACCUGGCCAGAAAAAAUGAAUGUACUUGUUUGGGAAGAUUGCAUUGCAGAACAGGCAGAGGUGCUGCGCAAUGAUUCCUAUGGAAUCAUUAUUGAUCGGUCUCCUAAGGGGAUGUUUAGCUUGAAUUGUACCUCUGAGUAUGUGUGCCAUGGCCACACUAUGUUCAGCUGGUCAGAAGAAAACAGUCAGAUGGUAGAAAUGGUAAGAAGUAUGGCAAGAGUUCUUAUUAUCUGGAAACAUGGCGGUAUAGUGGCACCUCAACCUCAAAUGAUAUGACCCGCCGUAGGAGAUUAACAAAAGGAUUUGUGGAAACUAUUAAUGGCUCUUAAUAAGAUCAAAAUUUGGGAACGAAUAAAAAACCAUCUAGAAGGACACUAUACAAACUGGUUUUUGGAUAUUGCAAAGUUAAAAGAACAAAUAUUUAAAGCAUCCCAGGCACAUCUGACCUUAAUACCAGGAACUGGAGUGCUUGAAGGAGCUGCAGACGGAUUAGCAGCCAGUAACCCAUUAAAAUGGAUGAAAACACUUGGAAGCUCUGUGAUUUCAAUGAUGAUUGUGUUAUUAAUCUGUGUUGUUUGUCUUUGUGUAGUCUGCAGAUGCAGAUCCUGACUCCUGCGAGAAGUAGCUCACCGUGAUAAAGCUGCCUUUGCUUUUAUUGCCCUGCAAAAACAAGAAGGGGGAUAUGCUGGGGAAUAGGCCCCCAAAUCUGGACAUAAACUGGCCCCAAAACUGGCCAUAAACAAAAUCUCUGCAGCGCUGUGACAUGUUCAUGGUGGCCAUAACGCCCAUGCUGGAAGGCUGUGGUUUACCGGAAUGAGAGCGAGGAACACCUGGCCUAUCCAGGGCGGAAAACCACUUAUAGGUAUUCCUAAACCACAAACAACCUAUGCCUUAAGGACAUGUUCCUGCUGCAGAUAACUAGCCAGAGCCCAUCCCUUUGUUUCGGCCCAUCCUUUUGUUUCCUGUAAGGAGUGCUUUUAGUUAAUCUAUAAUCUAUAGAAACAAUACUUAUCACUGGCUUGCUGUCAAUAAAUAUGUGGGUAAAUCUCUGCUCAUGGCUCUC